GAUGAACGCGGGGGGCGUGCUAAUACAUGCAAAGUUGAACGCUGAAAUCUAGCUUGCUAGAUUGAGGGAGUGGCGAACGGGUGAGUAAUACAUAAAGCAACCUACCCACGAAGACUGGGAUAAUCUCUGGAAACGGGGACUAAUACCGGAUAGGUAAUCGGAAGGCAUCUUCUGGUUAUUAAAGGUUAAAAACACUGGUGGAUGGGCUUAUGGCGCAUUAGUUAGUUGGUGAGGUAACGGCCCACCAAGACGAUGAUGCGUAGCCGGCCUGAGAGGGUGAACGGCCACAUUGGGACUGAGACACGGCCCAGACUCCUACGGGAGGCAGCAGUAGGGAAUUUUCGGCAAUGGGGGAAACCCUGACCGAGCAACGCCGCGUGAGUGAUGACGGCCUUCGGGUUGUAAAGCUCUGUUGUAAGGGAAGAACGGUAGAUAGAGAAUAUCUAAAUGACGGUACCUUACCAGAAAGCCACGGCUAACUACGUGCCAGCAGCCGCGGUAAUACGUAGGUGGCGAGCGUUAUCCGGAAUUAUUGGGCGUAAAGGGUGCGUAGGCGGCCUGUUAAGUAAGUGGUUAAAUUGUUGGGCUCAACCCAAUCCAGCCACUUAAACUGGCAGGCUAGAGUAUUGGAGAGGCAAGUGGAAUUCCAUGUGUAGCGGUAAAAUGCGUAGAUAUAUGGAGGAACACCAGUGGCGAAGGCGGCUUGCUAGCCAAAGACUGACGCUCAUGCACGAAAGCGUGGGGAGCAAAUAGG
This 754-nucleotide ribosomal RNA is filed under the name uncultured Bulleidia sp. RNAcentral's name for it is "bacterial SSU rRNA". It matches the Rfam family "Bacterial small subunit ribosomal RNA", at positions 28 to 776 of the family's 1533-position model. The record is from RNAcentral. Lineage: Bacteria; Bacillati; Bacillota; Erysipelotrichia; Erysipelotrichales; Erysipelotrichaceae.